This 413-nucleotide ribosomal RNA is filed under the name uncultured prokaryote. RNAcentral's name for it is "bacterial SSU rRNA". It matches the Rfam family "Bacterial small subunit ribosomal RNA", at positions 505 to 918 of the family's 1533-position model. The record is from RNAcentral.
GUGUCAGCCGCCGCGGUAAUACGGGGGGAGCAAGCGUUGUCCGGAAUCACUGGGCGUAAAGGGCGUGUAGGCGGGCUGGUAAGUCAGAUGUGAAAUCCCACGGCUUAACCGUGGAAUUGCAUUUGAAACUGCCAGUCUUGAGUGCGAGAGAGGGUAGUGGAAUUCCCGGUGUAGCGGUGAAAUCCGUAGAUAUCGGCAAGAACGCCGGUGGGGAAGCCGGUCUCCUGGGCUGAGCCUGGCGCUGAGGCCCUAAAGCUAGGGGAGCGAACGGGGUUAGAUACCCCGGUAGUCCUAGCCGUAAACGAUGCUCACUAGGUGUGGGGCGCACAUGCGCUCUGUGCUGAAGCUAACGCGUUAAGUGAGCCGCCUGGGGAGUAUGCCCGCAAGGGUGAAACUCAAAGGAAUUGGCGGGG